UUCCCUGUGACUUCACAUAAAGCUGAGCUGUGGUCUUCAAAGCUGAAAUGAGUCUUUACCCAGAUGGAGCUGGUGCUGGGGGAACACCUCGCCCCUGUGUGCCCGGUGACCGGGUUUUGCAGAGGGCAGCAGUUUCAAACAGGAGCUGCUGUCAACAAACCUGGCUCCCCGUGGAAAUAUUUCUCCUCCUGCAACAAAUCAGAGGGCGGGGCUGCCUCGCUGACGGCCAGCCUCCGCCACAAAUAGGACCACGGCUCUCCCCAGGAUGUCCUCCAAUCUCCGGAUCCAGGGCGGGGUCUGCGGGGUCGAAACCAGAGAGAGAAUCCCAAAAAUGACAUCUAUAUUGCGGUGGAGCAGGGGACGACCGGGGCUCUGAGGGAAGAAAGGAGUCAGAGCUGGAUCUCGUUUUGUAGGAUCUUGACAAAGCAACAGACGCAGGAAAAAGACGCAGUAAAUUAGGCACGGUUUCCAGUUUGGGUGCUUCAGCUUCAGCGCGGACUUAUGUUGCCUUUGCGGAAACGUAGCGAGUUGCAUUUUUGAGAAAAUCUCAAGGAGGCAUUUGUUCUUAAUAGCUGACUAGAUAAGUGAAUCGGCGCCGAGGCUCCGUUUCCUGUGUUUGCCAGCGCGCUGCAGCUGGGCUGAAGAAGCCCCGCUGGUACCGACUUCUCAACACAUCCAGUCCGCUUCGAAAGUCGGUGAGAGAAAGAAAGAAAAAACGAAAUGUGCGACUUGAUGCCAGCCUCCCAGCCAGCGGAGAAAAUCGGCAAAAUGAAAAAGUUGAGGAGAACUUUGUCGGAGAGUUUCAGGAGUAUCGCUUUCAAGAAGGAGGACAGCGGCUUUGAUGAGAUAUGUGUCACAAAGAUGUCCACACGCAGCUGCCAGGGAACAGACUCAGUCAUCAAGCCCCUGGACACCAUUCCUGAGGACAAGAAAGUGAGAGUUCAGCGCACGCAGAGUGGCUUCGACCCAUUCGAGAGGCCAGCCAGUCAGGUGAAGAGGGUCCACUCUGAGAACAAUGCCUGCAUCAACGCCAAGAGUUCAUCUGCCGGCAAGGAGUCGCCAAAACUGCGCCGUCACUCCAGCCCUAGUUCUCCCACAAGCCCAAAGUUUGGAAAAGCAGAUUCCUAUGAAAAGCUGGAGAAGCUGGGAGAAGGUUCAUAUGCUACAGUAUACAAAGGAAAGAGCAAGGUGAAUGGGAAGCUGGUGGCUCUGAAGGUGAUUCGUCUACAAGAGGAGGAAGGAACGCCCUUCACAGCCAUAAGAGAAGCAUCUCUUCUGAAAGGCCUGAAGCACGCCAACAUCGUGCUCCUCCAUGACAUCAUCCACACCAAGGAAACCCUGACUCUGGUCUUUGAAUAUGUGCACACAGACCUGUGCCAGUACAUGGACAAACACCCUGGAGGUCUCCAUCCAGACAAUGUGAAGCUGUUCCUGUUCCAGCUACUCAGAGGCUUGUCCUACAUCCACCAGAGGUACAUCCUUCACCGUGACCUGAAACCACAAAAUCUGCUCAUCAGCGACACCGGAGAGCUCAAACUCGCUGACUUCGGUCUGGCCAGAGCUAAGUCAGUCCCCAGCCAUACCUACUCCAAUGAGGUGGUGACCCUGUGGUACCGGCCUCCAGAUGUCCUGCUGGGAUCCACAGACUAUUCCACCUGCCUGGACAUGUGGGGAGUGGGCUGCAUCUUCAUUGAAAUGAUCCAGGGUGUGGCUGCCUUUCCAGGGAUGAAGGACAUCCAGGACCAGCUGGAGAGGAUAUUCCUGGUCCUUGGCACCCCAUCUGAGGAUAACUGGCCAGGUGUAAACUCCUUGCCUCACUUCAAACCAGAUCGGUUUACAGUGUACAGCGCCAAGAAGCUCAGACAAGCGUGGAACAAGUUGGGCUACGUGGAUCAUGCUGAGGAGCUGGCCUCCAGGUUCCUCCAGUGCUUCCCAAAGAACCGGCUGUCGGCCCAGGCAGCACUGAACCAUGAGUACUUCAGCAACCUUCCUCCACGGCUCUGGGAGUUGCAGGACAUGUCUUCUAUCUUCACCAUACCAAAUGUCAAGCUGCAGACAGAGAGCGGGGACAGCAUACAGGUGUGUGUACGACGGAACAGUCAUGGGAAGGCUUCGUCUGGCAGCAAACACUGACCUGAGGCAGCAUCCUGCACACCACUUCCUGACAGCUCACUGACAUUGUGACUCAUGUCAUGGUGAUCCAACAACUCCACCAACCUGAACCACCACAAAGGUCGUUUGUUCUAGCCCUCUUAUACAACCCACAGGAGUGUCUUCUGAAAUAGUGGACCUUUGUUGUCAUAUUUACAGUAAUAAAUAUGCAGACCGUACCAACAACAAUGUACUGGAGCCUCUUCACCAUCGUUACAAUAAUAAACGGUCAGGUUUGUUUAGAUUUAGGAAAAGAUUGUGAUUUGGAUUAAAAUAAAUACUUCUUCAACGUUAGAUGAUCUUUGCUGUCAUGGUUACAAUGAUAACCUGGUUAAUUUUGCUGAACAGUCAUGGAUAAAAGAAACUAUAUAAAAUGCUUCUUUCACAUGAGAAUUGAACACCACUCUCCAGUGUCAUAUUCAUCCAUCCACAACAAAAUCUUCCUGACGUGGACUUUGUCUCUCUGUAUACGACGUCACCGCACUUUUCCCUUUGCUCUUGUCAUAAUUACUGUGACAACUACAUGGUGCCUAGCAACAAAAUGUAAGUAUGGGUCAUAAUGACCUGCUGCACAGACGACCCUAUGGGCUCGUUGUUUAGAAGAGGACAGUCUCAGGGAUCCUCAUUUUGACCUUAAGGAAAGAAGAAUUACUUUUUACUCGAUGGCUGAAUCAUGCUAACAUGCUAACAUACUAAUGUGAAUGGCUUUGUGAAUUAGCAGCAUUUGACUGCUUAAACCAUUAAAUAAAAAGUCACAAUAGAUUUGUCUUUUUGAGAUGGGGAGUCAGUGCUUAUCAUGUCCAAAUAGUUAAACUCAAAUCACCUAAAAAAACAAGUGUCUGAUGAGGGUCUUUAGUAUCCCUUCAGAAGUGGAACAUGUUCCACAUGUCAAUGCUCAGCUAAGGAACAAGAAAAAUAAGCAACUUUCCAUUUUUAACACUUUUGCACAUCACAACCUGCAGUCUAUAUAAAUAUAUUUCAUAAUAAUGAUUUUAAAUCUUCAUCUUUUAAAAUUUUGAGUUCCUGUCUAAUUUUCCAAUAAUAAUCUAAUAUUUUUGACUGAAUAGAUUUUGUUUGAAAUUAUUUCAAGCUUUUCAUCGUUUUGUUUUCUCCACUUUGUGUUUUCCUGGUGCAAAUAGGUUUUUGUUGUAAAAUUAUCAUUCUCAUGUGUUGCACAUUGUGUUGCUACUUUUGCCUUUUCUUUAGCUGGAAUAUGCAAAAUGUUUAUAAAUAUCCUAAAAGAUAAAUUGGUUUUUAAAAGUGGAAAUACCAGGAAACCAAACACUCAUAUGAAAAGUUUGGAAACAAACAUAUUGUACAACUUGCUGAGAAUGCAGAUAUCUAAUCAUUAGCUGUUGCUGCUCUCUGGCCAACACUCUACAUCCCACUGACCACCACAGUCUUUCUUUUAACGCUGAUGCCAUGAGAUCUGUGCUCUCUGCAGUGAAGCAGAGAAUGCAAUAAUAGAUGGAGGAAUGGCUUUAAGUGGGUGAGGAGGGAGUCCCAUUCAUUAGACACUGGGGUCUCUUUCACCACUCACAUAAAGCGGCACUAUAUUUGCAUGUAAUAAGAGGUGCAGAGGCCAGGCGUGAGGACAAUGGCUGGUCUAAUGAUGGACUGUGGGGAUUGUGAGGGCAAGUACAGGGCCAAAGAACAGCACUGCGCACCAGAUUAUAUCUGUAAUUGCCAACAGGUGCAAAGACACAGCAGACACAUCAGCUCUUCAACUGGAAAUCUACAAUUUAAGAUUCUCCAAUGUUUCAUGUCCUGAUGUUUCCACAUGGGGGCUGAAUACCCUGUAUUUACUAUUGGAAUGGAUGUAUCCUCAACUGGUUUUGUGUGUGUGUGUGUGUGUGUGUGUGUGUGUGUGUGUGUGUGUGUGUGUGUGUGUGUGGAAGUCAUACCAUUGAGAGAGCUGUGUCCUCUCAGCUGCUGCAUUUACAUUGAAAUCACUUUCUUUCUCCGGAGCCAUCCUGAAGCCUGACAGGCUGGGAGAGCUUCACUGAUAUGAGCCUAAUCCCUGUGCACACAGCCACAUUAACACACUGACAAAUUACACUAACUCACUGCUCAGCACCAGACAACAGAUUAACUUGUGAACACAGUGGAGGAUCUAGCAGCUAAAGAGCCAGAUUUUUCACCAUAUUAACAAUUCAAUAUAAUACUCAACUUCAUAUUUUAGUGUUUGUAUCUAUAUUUGUUAUUUUAUCUUUUAUUAUUAGAAAAAAUCCUUCCUUUUUUUUCUUUCUUUUUUUUUGAUGUUGAGGAGCAGUAUUGCUAAUUUUGUUGUAUGCAGAGCUUACAGUAACGAUAAAGGCUUUCUAAUGUUCAACCACAGUUGGUAGGGACCAUACCUAGAGCUAAAACAGAGAAAAUACUGGACUUAGAUUCAUCAGGUGUCAUAGCCUGUUCUGCUUUCACCUGCUGCUUCAGUGUUUUUCCACUUACCCCGCUUCCGUCUCACCCCACUGGCCAAAUCAGUGCCUUCAGGUCCACCUUGGGCUCUCAACUGCAUCUCAUCACUCAUUAAGCCAGUAUAUAUGCAUCUCCGGUUCGUUCAAUUGUUGCCAGAUUGUUCUCUGUACUCAUGCAAGACUUUCCAGUGGUCAUCUCCGGACUGACUUCUUGGUAUCGACCCCACUUGUCUCUGACCAUCCUGCCUCAUCUCUGACCCAGUAAACGACUCAGCCUUUUGUCCCUGACCACGAGUUGCCACAUGAGUUUCCCUACCAUCUUAAAAGACUUCAAAGACUCCUGCUUCGUCAACGCAGCUGUCUUUGUGGGUUCGUCUUUCACCCUGAGACCUGUGGCCCCUUCCUGACAAACUGUUCCCUGUUGUUUUCUCUGCAACCCCGCAUGUUUGCAUCUGAGGAGGCUAAGGUAUUCUUCACCAUCAACCACCUGACGGGGAAGGCUCGUCUCUGUGCGACCACCGAGUGGGAGAUACAGACUACAGCCUGCACCUCCUUCCAGCUCUUCUUCGAGGAGCUCCCCAAGGUUUUCACCAUGGGGGCCUUUGGUUUUUACGCAGCACAGGGCCUGAUGAGCAUGCAUCAGGGGGACCGGAGAAACUGACUUCUCCAUCGACUUCCACACCAAGUCUCGCCAGAGUGACUGGAGCUCAUCCGCCCUAAGUGACGUUUUUCUUCAUUGCCUCGCUAAUUAUAUUAAAGAUGAACUGGUGCUGCAUGACCUUCUGUCUACGUUGGAUAGGUUGAUCGAGUUGGCUACGAGGUUGGACCUUCGUAUCCAGGAACAGAGAUGGGAGAAGAGGCAGAGUGGUGCAGCUCAUCACCCUUCAGUUACCCCUUGGGUCUCUUCCUCCUCCAUCAGCCCCAGCGCUCCUGCAGGGCCGCUUCCAGGGGGUCCUAAGCCCAUGCGACUGGGACACAUCAGCUUCACUACAGAGGAGUGGGAGCGUCGUCGUCAGGGCAACCUCUGCAAGUACUGUGGCCAGGCCAGCCGUUUUGUAUCCCGCUGCCCAUAAAAAGCCAGGGCUCACCAGUAGAGGGGGAAUUUCUGGUGAGCCAUGCCUCCACGCAACCUUCCCUCAACCAAGCUUCUCCUCUCUCCGCAAAGCCUAUCAUCGGGUCUGGAUGUUGGAGGGCGAUGAGUGGAAGACGGUCUUCAACACACCCACUGGUCAUUACGAGUACCUCGUCAUGCCUUUUGGCUUAACCAAUGCCCUGGCCAUGUUACAAGCCUUGGUGAACGUGCUGAGGGACAUGUUGAACCAUUACAUGUUCAUCUACCAAGAUGACAUCCUCAUCUUCUCAAAGUUCCACGGAGAGCACAUCCACCAUGUCCAGACGGUCUUGCAAUGGCUCCUGGCCAGUCCCUGACUCCCGCAAGCAACUGCAACACUUCCUGGGGUAUGUCGAUUUCUACCGCCACUUCAUCCGCAACUUCAGCAGCAUUGCUGCCCCCCUAUCAGCCCUUACCUCCUCCAAGGUGCCCUUCUGCUGGAACCCGUCCGCCAAUGAGGUCUUCCUCACCCUAAAGGCCUGUUUCGCCUCAGCCCCCAUCCUUCAAGUGCCAGAUCCCGAGCGCCAGUUUGUCAUGGAGAUGGACGCCUCCGAUGUGGGACCUGGGGCCGUCCUAUCCCAGCGUGCAGCCUCUGACCAGAAUCUUCUCCCCUGUGCCUUCUCUGCGUCCCCUGCUGAGAGAAACUACGGCAUCGGCAACCAGGAGCUCCUAGCCGUCAAGCUGGCAUUGGAGGAGUGGCUGGAGGGGACCAAGCAACCUUGAGUACAUCCAUACUGCCAAGAGACUGUACUCUCAUGAAGCCCGGUGGUCUCUCUUCUUCCCCCGCUUCGACUUCUCCCUCUCCUACCCUCCUGGGUACAGCAACGUCAAGUCUGAUGCCUUGUCAUGCCUUGGGGAAAGAGACUCUGCCUCGUGGCCCAGCCUGAUCCUCCCUACUCCCUGCGUUGUCGCCACCCUUACCUGGGAAAUCGAGGAAAGGGUGAGGUCUGCGACCGAGGGUCAGCCUGGGCCAAGCUCUUGUCCCGCAGACCACCUGUUCAUUCCCCCAGACAAAUAGAUGUCUCCAAAUGAAUGAUAAUGUUGCUCCGGACAGUGUCUGCUAAGUUCACCAUACCAACUUAAAAGGUGGCUGUUGUAAAAAAAAAAAAAAAAAAGAAGAAGAAGAAGAAGAAGAGAAUGAGCUUGAGGAUCCAGACAAAUGAAAGAGCCCCAGUUCUCUUUAUUUAUUACCCUUCAGGAUACGUGUGAGCGCGCAUGCGUGUGUGUGGUGUGUGCGAAAGAGAGUGAAUGCAUGUGUGCAUGAAGGGUAUGUAAGAUUGAAGUCUAUCAUUUGCUAAUUUUGUUUACUUUUUAUAAGGUUCCAAUAACUCAUAUAUCAUUGUCACCGUAUAAACAAAAGGACUUUACUAUUGGUACAUAUUGUGUUUUGUGUUUGUAACUAGCUUCCUAUUUAAGAAUGUAUAUUUGUAUGUAUGAUAUACUCAUCUAGAAACUAUAUAAUGGACAGUUUUAAUAUUGCUUCAUCUUCUCACCACUACACUGCUCUGCCAGGACAUGUUAACAAACACAUGAGCAAGAACACAUCGAUAACACAAAAACACUGCAGUCACUUCAAAGAACAAUGAAUCCUACAAGAAUUAGUUUAACAUUUUCUUUCUAAUGAGGUUACUUUGUGGAACUGCAAACAUCAGUAAUAAUAAUAAUAAUAAUAAUAAUGGAGGGCUCUCAGUGGUGGAACACUACCUCUGGUGGCCAUAUUGGAGGUCCUUGGUUCUGUGUUACCUGGAAACAGCUGUCGAGACGUGGUUGAUUUGAAUCUGCUUUAAAGCUUGAGCUUAUAUUUUAAUGAAUGAUACAUGUGGCAGAAUGUUGGCUAGCUAGCUAACUGACUAGUAUUUGUCAGGUAACUGUCACCAUUUUGAUAUCAAUCUGAGUUUAACACUAAAGUGCACAUCUAGUAGCUAGUUCUAUAUGAUCAUAUUAAUUUCUGUCAACAAUUUCUCUUUCCUUAUUUGCUAGCAGCCUGGAUCGGUCAAAAUUGCUUAUUUGGACAUUUGGAAAGGAAAUAUUUUUUUUACAGUGUUACUUUUGUAGCUUCGACCAUCAUUGUCAUCAGUUAUCAAAAUAUUUCACUCACAAAUAACAAUGCUGUGAUUUAGAUUUAUCUGUAAAACUGGGGGCAGAAAGUAGACAGUUAAAAUUUGAAUGUGGGCAGUUUGGUUAGUAUGGAUGUAUUAAGCUUAAUAUGGCGAAAUGAGUUCAGGCUGAAACUUGAGUCUCUUGGCUACAUGUUCAUCCUUCAGAGACGUUUGUGUGGCUGUUGCUUUUAUACUCUUUGGUACAACUUGUUUAAGGUUUACAUUUCAGAUCACCCAAUCAGCUUAAUUUACCUGUAGAUCUCCGCAAUGCAUUGUUAAGAUUUGGAUCUGAGUGCAUCUGGCUUCUGUGACAAACUUUGUCAAGGCUCACAGAGACGUUUGCAUGGCUUUUUCUUUUAUGCUUGUAGGUAUAUGUUCUUCAAUCUUUUUUUUUUCUUUUUUUUCUAUUAUCCAUUUCGGAUCAACCAAUCACCCACCUGUAUCUCCCUUCUUUGUCAAGGUUCACAGAGACAUUUACAUGCAUCUUUGCAGAAACAUAAUUCCGUCAUAGAUACUGCAGUAAAAAAAAAAAAAAAAAAUACUUCUUUUUUUUUUGGGCUUUUGUGCCUUUAUUGGACAGGAUAGUAGAGAGAGUCAGGAAAUGGGGAGGCAGAGAGAGGGGGAAUGACAUGCAGCAAAGGCCAUCCAAUGCAGGACUUGAACCGGGGCCAACUGCAGCGAGGACACAACAACCCUACUAUAAUAUACUCUUGAACACAAGAAUAAAACAGACUUAAAUGUUAAAGAUGAUGACCUUGAGUUUUAACCAAUGUCUAUAAUUAUUCUUUGUGUAAUGAGUUUUUAAAUCAUGAGAAGAUUUUUUGUCAAACUUUCAAACCAGGGACUAGAAAAGUUAUUUUAUGCUUGUGACAUCAUCUCAGUGUAAAGUCUAUGAGACUGGCACCUAAAAAACUAAGAGGUGAGACAUUUUGGUGCAUGCACUGGAUGAGCAACCUACUCUGAAAUAAACAGGGUGCCAUAAUAUCUUCCUUCAUCUAUCAGAAUGAUGGCCAAAACUGCAAAAGUAAGUAUCUGGUUGUAGAAAGAUAUUAGUAAAAAUUUCCAUUGGACCCCCAUGAUGGAACCAGGUGUGGCUGAUGUGAGUUGUGUGUUGUAGCUGAAAAAGCCGCUCUGACAUUAAUGAUUUAAUGUUGAUGGUACACACAUAACAUGACAGGGACAGCAUCAACCAGUGUGCAGAAUAUAGACGCAAUACCGUAAUGGACAACAGCUGUAAGUGUGUGUGAGUGUGUGCGUGUGUGAGUGUAUUAAAAACUGGCAAUAGCUAAGCAUUAGUGCUUCCAUCCAUGUAAAAGAGCUAAUGUACAAAAGGUAAAACAGUGAGGCAAUAGGCUGUGUGGCCCGGCUGUGUGAUUUGGCCCACGACAAUCCUCCUUCUACUUUAUGUGAUGCCAUCAAACCAUCUGCAAUAUUCUACCAGAAUCAGCUUGUCUGUGUCAACAACUGCAGAUUUCUGUCCCACAGUCAAAUGUAAAAUCUGCAGCUUUUUAUCCAAUGAAUUUGGCAACUGUAGGGAGUGCUGUACAGUGUGUGUGUGUGUGUGUGUGUGUGUGUGCAGUGUUUAGGUGGUGAAUAACUUCUGAUUAGUCCCUCCACCACCAACACGAGACUUCCACCAUAUGUGUGCCCCUCAACAUCGUACAUGUUCUAUGUGUUUCUGAGCUUUUUCUGACACUAUGACAACAGUUUAUGAUGUUUCAUCUACAAAGAUUUUUAUUUUAAUUUUUAUUUUGAUUAUUUGUGUCAAUAUUAUCUGAGUAUUACAGUUUAGACAUAUUAUGGUAAUAAUUGUGAAGUACCAUCAAUAUAAUGGCUUCCUCUUUGAUAUCAACUGAAACAAUAAUAAUGGCCCAACACUGUUGAUUAGAUGACGAGAUGAUGCUGCAAAUGUGAAGCCACACACACACACACACACACACACACACACACACACACACACAAUCACACACACACACACACACACACACACACACACACACACACACACACACACACACUUAUGAUAUAGAAGUCUUGUCUGUUAAACUACCUGCACCUAUCUAGUCUUAUCAGCUACAGUACUGUAGGAUCCUGCAGCCCCUCCACGCGCCCCUGCAACUGACAUCUGCUUGAUAUCAGUUUGUCACGUUCACAGAUAGGUUCACAUGAUGUCAUCAUCCUUUUUUUCGAUACCAAUCAUGAGGUGAUGCUUUCAAAAAGUGAGUACACUGUAAGAACUAUCUGUGGCUACAGCAGUCUGCUACAGUCUGCUACAGUCGACUACAGCAGUCUGGGUAAGCCAAAUGGAAUCAUGAUCUUCAUCUGCAUCUACGUUUGUUGCCAGAUGUUUUUCUGUGGUUGACCAAGCCAGAGCAAAAUUGACUAUAACUAUAUGGGACUUAGAUUUGUAUGGUGGCUGGAUGGAGAGCCCGUGUUGUUUUGAUGCUGGAAUUGCUGAGUUGUCUUUUGUGUCUUCUCUGCCCUGAAAUGGUCCAAUACCACUUAAUUUAACUUUAAAUACACUGAUUGGUUAUUUGGGAACACAGUAAAGGGAGGCUGAAUUAGCACUACACAACUAUUAAGGAGUGUCCAUCCACCCUGACUCAGAAAACACAACUGUAGCUGUAAUGUACCAAAUGAUUUGGCGAACUCAAAGUGCAUAACCAUUCAUCUAUAUUUAGUUGCAUUGAAAAUUUACACAUAAAAAUACUUAAGUGGAAAUCUAAGAAAUUUACAAAAAAAAAAUAUUAUAUUUAAAAUAUUAUAACAAAAACUGGACAAAAACAAAAAGUGCCAUAGUUGUGUUACAAGAGUACACCCAGUCUGUUCGGGUGUACUCUUGUAACAUCUCCUCAGCUUCUGCUCCACUGAAGAGAUAAUAAAAUGGCAGAUGAAAACAUCACAGCUGUGUGGAGUGAUCAGGAGGCUGUAACCUUUGGAUUGAAAGAUCUUUUCCAUCUGAUCUUUUGAGUGUAGAAGUGUAGAUUCCACUAUCUAUUACAGUGUAGUCUCUAGAUGGGGAGACGACUUAAUUUUCACAGUGAAACCAUGACUCUUUCAACAUGGAGACAACAGAGAAUCUGAACCUAUCUUUUAAAGGAGGCAAAAUAAAGAGAAGGAAUUGCCUUUUGACUAGAGAGAGUAAAGUGGCUCUGGGGUGACACAAAACCAUGAUGUGCUCAAUGUUGUUUUGAAAAUGCACUUUAAACAAAAACCAUUUACAUUCCAGCAUCUAUGCUCGCUUUUACGCACUUGAUUUGCCCCUAAUGAUAAAAUAUAUAGGCUAUAUACAUAUAGGAUCUAUAGGGUAGAUCCUACCCUCUUCCCUUAUAGAUCCUACCCUCUGCCUCAUGCAGAGCAAAGCAACAAUAUGGUCCCUGGUUUUGAACCUUUGAGACAGAUUGAGGAGAGCUUGUAGAAACGCUGUACUCAAAGUUAUCUCAUGGCUUUUCAGUGUCAUCCCUGGGCUGUGAUUGUACAGUGGGAGUAAAAAAAAGAAGUGGGGAGGAGAGGAGUGCGUAAUACCAGUAAAGCAGCAUGACAGAAGACAGAAGACGGUAAAUACCAUUGAACUGUGCUGAGCCUUUUGUGGCUUUAAGGGAUUGCAGGCAGCAUUAGCAUUAUUUUGGUAUGUCACCCCCACCCACCCACUCACCCACACACACAAACACACACUCACACACACACACACACACUCACACACACACACACACACACACACACACACACACCACACACACACACACACAUCCCACCCCCAACACUCUUAUGUCUGUGGACCUUUGGCAGCCUACAGUCUUGUAUAAAACUUGUACUUUUGAAUCCUGUGUGGGCAGAGGUCUUGAGGCACCCUUCUCAAACUUGAAUGUUCUUACUAUAUUUCAAAUAAAAUCCAGUGAAGGAACGACUUGGUGGAAUUGCACAUUCAGCACUGUGACAGGAAAAUGAGAAUAUUAAUAGAAAUAUCAAAGGUGGAAAUUGAUAAGAUGACACACCUUCAUUGACGAGAAACAGUGAUGCUUCCACUAUGUUUGUAUACAGGGUUGCAAAUAAACAUUGUUCCCUUAAUACUAAGAGAAAUCAUAUGUGAAUAUACAUGUAUGAUGAAUAUAUAAAAAUAUAAGGCAUCUAUUUUUGGCAUUGUUUAUCAGAAGUGGUAUUGGAUCUAGUGUGUGAACAAUGAAUCUAUGUUUGCAACUUUUUUUUCAACAAUGCUUCUCUCACAUUUUAUUUUUUGUAUGCUGCACUGAAAAUCAUUUUUACAUGUGGUUUGGAAAACAGAAGUGUCAUCACUUCAUCAAGUGAAACAAUAUAGUAUUUAGUAGAGUAGCUGUUGCAUUAUUUGUUACAACCUGUAUGUAAUGUUAUUAUGGAAGAUGUAAUGUCCUUCUGUAAAUGUUGUUUAAUGUUGUUUUACCUGAAAUAAAAUUUAUUAAUGCUU
This is an RNA transcript of Seriola aureovittata, 12216 nucleotides long. It is a transcript of the gene named cyclin dependent kinase 14, with no coding region annotated. The record is from RefSeq and is a predicted model, not a curated record. Lineage: Eukaryota; Metazoa; Chordata; Actinopteri; Carangiformes; Carangidae. The transcript is spliced from 16 exons.